GACCCGGUAUUUACCCCCCACCCCGGCACCCAGCAACCAGCAGCUCUGCAGAGGCGUGAUGCAGGAGCGUCAUGACGUCAGACCAAACGGUUCCGCACUCUUCAGCCUGUAACUGAAUAAACAUUGAGCAACAACGUGUGGCGCCGUUCACCUUCAUCCCAUUGUUGAUCACAGAGAAUCCUCAGCGUUCUUUGUGAGCAGAGAGGCGUUUCCCGGCAGAGCAGACUUCCCGGACAAAAACCAUUUAAAUGUGCAGAAGUAAAAGGAAACCUGUCGACACACGAGUCUCUGACACGAGAAACGUCAGAGCUGCAGGACAGCCGCUUCAGCAUCCAACGGGAAACUUCAGGAAGCUUCCCGGAUGCCAUUCAGAGAGGCGUCUUCAUCCAUGAAGAAGCUGAAACAUGGAGGAGGUCUCCGGUUUCACGUGAAGCCAUAUUGUGACGAAGCUGGACAAAGAUUUCCUGCUGGAAGCUGUGAAAGCUCCUCAUGCAGAGACCAGUAAGCAGAUCAUCUUCUCACAUCUGAAACAAACUCAAACACACAUUUCCAAUGCUUGGCUCUAAAUAUCUUGAGUUCUUAUGAAUUAAAGUAAAAGUAACAGA
Non-coding RNA from Oryzias latipes (Japanese medaka), 605 nucleotides. The record is from RefSeq and is a predicted model, not a curated record. NCBI's taxonomy places the organism in Eukaryota, Metazoa, Chordata, Actinopteri, Beloniformes, Adrianichthyidae.